CUCAGGGAUGACAUUAAAACAGGUGCUAUGCCUGCAGAUAGCUUAUGGGCCCUGUGUUAGGCUGAAUAGGAAGGUUUAGUAGCAGGGAGCUGGGAUGUUCUUUGCUAGUGAAUCUUAGUGUGAAAGCUGGUCUGGGAAUCUCUCUGGUAAAUUCCUCGUGAAUAAGAAACAGUAUCUACAAGACAGAUGACCAUAUGGAAAACAUGGAGAAAUGCAAGACUACUGCACGAUGAAAUCUGGACAAUUUGAAUCUUACUGGACCAUCACACCUGGAGAAAACCUGGGCACCUGUGCUGUUAGAGAAAGGCUCUAGCUGUUCUUUGGACCCCUCAAUAUUUAUUUUUUUAAAUAUUUUUAUUUUUAAUAUAUGAAGAAAGAAGGCUUUUUUUGACUUCUUUCACAUUUUCUCAGCCAUUCCUCUCCUAUCAGAUGAUGGUCAGAAACACGUUUUUCUCUGAAAUUUCCUUUCAAUUUGAACUAAUCUGACAAAGCAGAGUUUAAACUGCAAAAUUAAAUUAUUGCUGUAAUUUCUUCAUCUAUGUGCUUAAUUUAAUUAUAUUAUGACAGUAAUCAUGAAAGCAAAUCUAGUUUUUGCAUAAAGCAACCAAUAGCAAGAUUCACAUUCUUUUUGGCUGGUCAUAAUGUGAAGAUCUGUUAUCUGUAAAUCUUUCCACAAAAGCUCCUUUUAAAUGAUCAGUGUUUCCUUCCAUACACAUUAAGAAAAUAAC
Molecule: long non-coding RNA, 728 nt
Filed under: Cyanistes caeruleus (blue tit)
Lineage: Eukaryota; Metazoa; Chordata; Aves; Passeriformes; Paridae
Description: lncRNA (ENSCCEG00000016068.1)
Source: RNAcentral